This 497-nucleotide ribosomal RNA is filed under the name uncultured bacterium. RNAcentral's name for it is "partial 16S ribosomal RNA". It matches the Rfam family "Bacterial small subunit ribosomal RNA", at positions 28 to 507 of the family's 1533-position model. The record is from RNAcentral.
GAUGAACGCUGGCGGCGUGCCUAAUACAUGCAAGUCGAGCGAACAGACGAGGAGCUUGCUCCUCUGACGUUAGCGGCGGACGGGUGAGUAACACGUGGAUAACCUACCUAUAAGACUGGGAUAACUUCGGGAAACCGGAGCUAAUACCGGAUAGUAUAUUGAACCGCAUGGUUCAAUAGUGAAAGACGGUUUUGCUGUCACUUAUAGAUGGAUCCGCGCCGCAUUAGCUAGUUGGUAAGGUAACGGCUUACCAAGGCGACGAUGCGUAGCCGACCUGAGAGGGUGAUCGGCCACACUGGAACUGAGACACGGUCCAGACUCCUACGGGAGGCAGCAGUAGGGAAUCUUCCGCAAUGGGCGAAAGCUUGACGGAGCAACGCCGCGUGAGUGAUGAAGGUCUUCGGAUCGUAAAACUCUGUUAUUAGGGAAGAACAAAUGUGUAAGUAACUAUGCACGUCUUGACGGUACCUAAUCAGAAAGCCACGGCUAACUACGUG